GCGCCCCCAGGCCACGUCCCCAGGGGCUGAUGGACCACCUGGGGCUGUCCUUCCGGAGGGUGCUUCCUCCUGGCCACACACGCUGCACCUGCUCUGCUCAUCGCCGGUCCCGGGGCGUCCUGUGUGUGGACUCUGGCUCCCCGUGUGAUCCCAGCUUCCCCGGCGGCAGCGUUUUGGACGUGAGCUCGCCCAGCCCGACGUCCCUGCUGAGUUCCUUUGACGGACCCUCCAGCUGAUGGCAUUAAUUAGACUCCUUGAAGCCAAAUGUGCCAGAGAGGUGCUACCUGGUGCUCUGGUUUGGUUCCAUCUCCUGAGUCCUUACCGCACCUUGGCCACCUGUCGUUGGUGGACAGGAGACCUGAUGCCAGAGACACACCCCACAUGGUGGCCUGGCCCUCCACGCAUGGCCCUGACCCGGCUCCCAGCCCCUCGAGUGGGCAUAAGACCUCAGGAUAAAGAAUGUGGUGAGGACUGGAG
Molecule: long non-coding RNA, 477 nt
Filed under: Fukomys damarensis (Damara mole-rat)
Lineage: Eukaryota; Metazoa; Chordata; Mammalia; Rodentia; Bathyergidae
Description: lncRNA (ENSFDAG00000028377.1)
Source: RNAcentral